Molecule: ribosomal RNA, 585 nt
Filed under: uncultured bacterium
Lineage: Bacteria
Description: partial 16S ribosomal RNA
Rfam family: Bacterial small subunit ribosomal RNA
Source: RNAcentral
UGGGGAAUUUUGGACAAUGGGCGAAAGCCUGAUCCAGCAAUGCCGCGUGUGUGAAGAAGGCCUUCGGGUUGUAAAGCACUUUUGUCCGGAAAGAAAUCCUUGGCUCUAAUACAGUCGGGGGAUGACGGUACCGGAAGAAUAAGCACCGGCUAACUACGUGCCAGCAGCCGCGGUAAUACGUAGGGUGCAAGCGUUAAUCGGAAUUACUGGGCGUAAAGCGUGCGCAGGCGGUUCGCUAAGACCGAUGUGAAAUCCCCGGGCUCAACCUGGGAACUGCAUUGGUGACUGGCAGGCUAGAGUAUGGCAGAGGGGGGUAGAAUUCCACGUGUAGCAGUGAAAUGCAUAGAGAUGUGGAGGAAUACCGAUGGCGAAGGCAGCCCCCUGGGCCAAUACUGACGCUCAUGCACGAAAGCGUGGGGAGCAAACAGGAUUAGAUACCCUGGUAGUCCACGCCCUAAACGAUGUCAACUAGUUGUUGGGGAUUCAUUUCCUUAGUAACGUAGCUAACGCGUGAAGUUGACCGCCUGGGGAGUACGGUCGCAAGAUUAAAACUCAAAUGAAUUGACGGGGUCAUAGCUGUUUCCU